GACGAACGCUGGCGGCGUGCUUAACACAUGCAAGUCGAACGGAAAGGCCCUGCUUUUGUGGGGUGCUCGAGUGGCGAACGGGUGAGUAACACGUGAGUAACCUGCCCUUGACUUUGGGAUAACUUCAGGAAACUGGGGCUAAUACCGGAUAGGAGCUCCUGCUGCAUGGUGGGGGUUGGAAAGUUUCGGCGGUUGGGGAUGGACUCGCGGCUUAUCAGCUUGUUGGUGGGGUAGUGGCUUACCAAGGCUUUGACGGGUAGCCGGCCUGAGAGGGUGACCGGCCACAUUGGGACUGAGAUACGGCCCAGACUCCUACGGGAGGCAGCAGUGGGGAAUAUUGCACAAUGGGCGGAAGCCUGAUGCAGCAACGCCGCGUGCGGGAUGACGGCCUUCGGGUUGUAAACCGCUUUCGCCUGUGACGAAGCGUGAGUGACGGUAAUGGGUAAAGAAGCACCGGCUAACUACGUGCCAGCAGCCGCGGUGAUACGUAGGGUGCGAGCGUUGUCCGGAUUUAUUGGGCGUAAAGGGCUCGUAGGUGGUUGAUCGCGUCGGAAGUGUAAUCUUGGGGCUUAACCCUGAGCGUGCUUUCGAUACGGGUUGACUUGAGGAAGGUAGGGGAGAAUGGACUUCCUGGUGGAGCGGUGGAAUGCGCAGAUAUCAGGAGGAACACCAGUGGCGAAGGCGGUUCUCUGGGCCUUUCCUGACGCUGAGGAGCGAAAGCGUGGGGAGCGAACAGGCUUAGAUACCCUGGUAGUCCACGCUGUAAACGGUGGGUACUAGGUGUGGGGUCCAUUCCACGGGUUCCGUGCCGUAGCUAACGCUUUAAGUACCCCGCCUGGGGAGUACGGCCGCAAGGCUAAAACUCAAAGGAAUUGACGGGGCCCCGCACAAGCGGCGGAGCAUGCGGAUUAAUUCGAUGCAACGCGUAGAACCUUACCUGGGUUUGACAUGGAUCGGGAGUGCUCAGAGAUGGGUGUGCCUCUUUUGGGGUCGGUUCACAGGUGGUGCAUGGCUGUCGUCAGCUCGUGUCGUGAGAUGUUGGGUUAAGUCCCGCAACGAGCGCAACCCUUGUUCACUGUUGCCAGCACGUUAUGGUGGGGACUCAGUGGAGACCGCCGGGGUCAACUCGGAGGAAGGUGGGGAUGACGUCAAGUCAUCAUGCCCCUUAUGUCCAGGGCUUCACGCAUGCUACAAUGGCUGGUACAGAGAGUGGCGAGCCUGUGAGGGUGAGCGAAUCUCGGAAAGCCGGUCUCAGUUCGGAUUGGGGUCUGCAACUCGACCUCAUGAAGUCGGAGUCGCUAGUAAUCGCAGAUCAGCAACGCUGCGGUGAAUACGUUCCCGGGGCU
Molecule: ribosomal RNA, 1346 nt
Filed under: uncultured bacterium
Lineage: Bacteria
Description: partial 16S ribosomal RNA
Rfam family: Bacterial small subunit ribosomal RNA
Source: RNAcentral